Molecule: ribosomal RNA, 305 nt
Filed under: uncultured bacterium
Lineage: Bacteria
Description: bacterial SSU rRNA
Rfam family: Bacterial small subunit ribosomal RNA
Source: RNAcentral
ACCUACGGGACGCAGCAGUGGGGGAUAUUGCACAAUGGGGGGAACCCUGAUGCAGCGACGCCGCGUGAGCGAAGAAGUACCUCGGUAUGUAAAGCUCUAUCAGCAGGGAAGAAAAUGACGGUACCUGACUAAGAAGCCCCGGCUAAAUACGUGCCAGCAGCCGCGGUAAUACGUAUGGGGCAAGCGUUAUCCGGAUUUACUGGGUGUAAAGGGAGCGUAGACGGCGAUGCAAGUCUGAAGUGAAAGCCCGGGGCUCAACCCCGGGACUGCUUUGGAAACUGUAUGGCUGGAGUGCUGGAGAGGCA